Molecule: ribosomal RNA, 233 nt
Filed under: uncultured bacterium
Lineage: Bacteria
Description: partial 16S ribosomal RNA
Rfam family: Bacterial small subunit ribosomal RNA
Source: RNAcentral
CGGGACGGGUGAGUAAUGUCUGGGAAACUGCCUGAUGGAGGGGGGUAACUACUGGAAACGGUAGCUAAUACCGCAUAACGUCGCAAGACCAAAGAGGGGGACCUUCGGGCCUCCUGCCAUCGGAUGUGCCCAGAUGGGAUUAGCUAGUAGGUGGGGUAACGGCUCACCUAGGCGACGAUCCCUAGCUGGUCUGAGAGGAUGACCAGCCACACUGGAACUGAGACACGGUCCAG